RNAcentral lists this transfer RNA (86 nucleotides) under Acetispira formosa (nom. nud.). Its description in RNAcentral is "Deltaproteobacteria bacterium Smac51 tRNA-Tyr". It matches the Rfam family "tRNA". Rfam says of the family: Transfer RNA (tRNA) molecules are approximately 80 nucleotides in length. Their secondary structure includes four short double-helical elements and three loops (D, anti-codon, and T loops). Lineage: Bacteria; Deltaproteobacteria; Acetispirales (nom. nud.). The record is from RNAcentral.
GGUGGGGUUCCCGAGUGGCUAAAGGGAGCAGACUGUAAAUCUGCCGGCGGACGCCUACGGAGGUUCGAAUCCUUCCCCCACCACCA